This 483-nucleotide long non-coding RNA is filed under the name Physcomitrium patens. RNAcentral describes it as "long non-coding RNA (PPAT_LNC011063)". The record is from RNAcentral. Lineage: Eukaryota; Viridiplantae; Streptophyta; Bryopsida; Funariales; Funariaceae.
UUAGGAUAAGGAUUUGGUUAGGAUUUGAUUUAGGGUUAGAAUAUGGUUAGGAUUUGAUUUAGGAUUAAAGUUUACUUAGGAUUUGAUUUACGAUUAGGAUUUGGUUAGGAUUUGAUUUAGGAUUAGGAUUUGGUUUAGGAUUUAGGAUUUGGUUAGGAUUAGAUUUAGGAUUAGGAUUUAGUUUAGGGUUUAGAAUUUUGUUUAAAAUUUGAGGUUUGAUCAGGGUUUGAUUAGGAUUUGAUUUAGGAUUUAGGAUUUUAUUUGAGUUUGUUUAGAAUUUAAGAUUUAGUUAAUUUUUGGCCUAAAGUUUGAAUGAAGUCCAAUAGAAUUUUAACUAAGAUUAAAUUAAGAUUGAAUUGAGAUAUAUUUGAGAUAUGUUUGUAAUUAUUCUAAUAUUUCUUUAAGAUUUCUUAUUUUUUCUUUGGAAUUCUUAAGAGGUUUCUCUGGAUUUGAUCAAAGCUUGUUUAUCAUUGUUAGUGUUCU